Molecule: ribosomal RNA, 423 nt
Filed under: uncultured bacterium
Lineage: Bacteria
Description: partial 16S ribosomal RNA
Rfam family: Bacterial small subunit ribosomal RNA
Source: RNAcentral
GAAUUUUGGACAAUGGGCGAAAGCCUGAUCCAGCAAUGCCGCGUGCAGGAUGAAGGCCUUCGGGUUGUAAACUGCUUUUGUACGGAUCGAAAAGCUUUGGGUUAAUACCCUGGAGCCAUGACGGUACCGUAAGAAUAAGCCCCGGAUCACUAAGUGCCAGCCGGCGCGGUCAUACGUAGGGUGCAAGCGUUAAUCGGAAUUACGGGGCGUAAAGCGUGCGCAGGCGGUUGUGUAGGACAGAGGUGAAAUCCCCGGGCUCAACCUGGGAACUGCCUUUGUGACUGCAAGGCUGGAGUACGGCAGAGGGGGGUGGAAUGCCGCGUGUAGCAGUGAAAUGCGUAGAUAUGCGGAGGAACACCGAUGGCGAAGGCAACCCCCUGGGCCUGUACUGACGCUCAUGCACGAAAGCGUGGGGAGCAAACA